Molecule: long non-coding RNA, 223 nt
Filed under: Manihot esculenta (cassava)
Lineage: Eukaryota; Viridiplantae; Streptophyta; Magnoliopsida; Malpighiales; Euphorbiaceae
Description: long non-coding RNA (MESC_LNC009481)
Source: RNAcentral
CCAUGACUCAGCAGGAGGCUAACACAUCCAACACCAUGGUGUCAGGUAAUCUCGUCAUUGGGUGUUCUGAUGUGUAUGCAUUAAUGGACCCGGGUGCAUCUCAUUCAUUUAUUGCUCCGAGAGCCAUUGAGAGGUUGGGUCUGAUAGUCUCUGGGUUAGAGUGUCCCCUAUGGGUCAGUGGACCCAAGUGUGACCCGUCAGUGGCAGUGUCAGUCUGCCAGNN